This 1349-nucleotide ribosomal RNA is filed under the name Staphylococcus aureus. RNAcentral describes it as "partial 23S ribosomal RNA". It matches the Rfam family "Bacterial large subunit ribosomal RNA", at positions 1325 to 2669 of the family's 2925-position model. The record is from RNAcentral. Lineage: Bacteria; Bacillati; Bacillota; Bacilli; Caryophanales; Staphylococcaceae.
GAAUCCCGUCCACCGAUUGACUAAGGUUUCCAGAGGAAGGCUCGUCCGCUCUGGGUUAGUCGGGUCCUAAGCUGAGGCCGACAGGCGUAGGCGAUGGAUAACAGGUUGAUAUUCCUGUACCACCUAUAAUCGUUUUAAUCGAUGGGGGGACGCAGUAGGAUAGGCGAAGCGUGCGAUUGGAUUGCACGUCUAAGCAGUAAGGCUGAGUAUUAGGCAAAUCCGGUACUCGUUAAGGCUGAGCUGUGAUGGGGAGAAGACAUUGAGUCUUCGAGUCGUUGAUUUCACACUGCCGAGAAAAGCCUCUAGAUAGAAAAUAGGUGCCCGUACCGCAAACCGACACAGGUAGUCAAGAUGAGAAUUCUAAGGUGAGCGAGCGAACUCUCGUUAAGGAACUCGGCAAAAUGACCCCGUAACUUCGGGAGAAGGGGUGCUCUUUAGGGUUAACGCCCAGAAGAGCCGCAGUGAAUAGGCCCAAGCGACUGUUUAUCAAAAACACAGGUCUCUGCUAAACCGUAAGGUGAUGUAUAGGGGCUGACGCCUGCCCGGUGCUGGAAGGUUAAGAGGAGUGGUUAGCUUCUGCGAAGCUACGAAUCGAAGCCCCAGUAAACGGCGGCCGUAACUAUAACGGUCCUAAGGUAGCGAAAUUCCUUGUCGGGUAAGUUCCGACCCGCACGAAAGGCGUAACGAUUUGGGCACUGUCUCAACGAGAGACUCGGUGAAAUCAUAGUACCUGUGAAGAUGCAGGUUACCCGCGACAGGACGGAAAGACCCCGUGGAGCUUUACUGUAGCCUGAUAUUGAAAUUCGGCACAGCUUGUACAGGAUAGGUAGGAGCCUUUGAAACGUGAGCGCUAGCUUACGUGGAGGCGCUGGUGGGAUACUACCCUAGCUGUGUUGGCUUUCUAACCCGCACCACUUAUCGUGGUGGGAGACAGUGUCAGGCGGGCAGUUUGACUGGGGCGGUCGCCUCCUAAAAGGUAACGGAGGCGCUCAAAGGUUCCCUCAGAAUGGUUGGAAAUCAUUCAUAGAGUGUAAAGGCAUAAGGGAGCUUGACUGCGAGACCUACAAGUCGAGCAGGGUCGAAAGACGGACUUAGUGAUCCGGUGGUUCCGCAUGGAAGGGCCAUCGCUCAACGGAUAAAAGCUACCCCGGGGAUAACAGGCUUAUCUCCCCCAAGAGUUCACAUCGACGGGGAGGUUUGGCACCUCGAUGUCGGCUCAUCGCAUCCUGGGGCUGUAGUCGGUCCCAAGGGUUGGGCUGUUCGCCCAUUAAAGCGGUACGCGAGCUGGGUUCAGAACGUCGUGAGACAGUUCGGUCCCUAUCCGUCGUGGGCGUAGGAAAUUUGAGAGG